GAUGAACGCUGGCGGCGUGCCUAAUACAUGCAAGUCGAGCGAACGGACGAGAAGCUUGCUUCUCUGAUGUUAGCGGCGGACGGGUGAGUAACACGUGGAUAACCUACCUAUAAGACUGGGAUAACUUCGGGAAACCGGAGCUAAUACCGGAUAAUAUUUUGAACCGCGUGGUUCAAAAGUGAAAGACGGUCUUGCUGUCACUUAUAGAUGGAUCCGCGCUGCAUUAGCUGGUUGGUAAGGUAACGGCUUACCAAGGCAACGAUGCAUAGCCGACCUGAGAGGGUGAUCGGCCACACUGGAACUGAGACACGGUCCAGACUCCUACGGGAGGCAGCAGUAGGGAAUCUUCCGCAAUGGGCGAAAGCCUGACGGAGCAACGCCGCGUGAGUGAUGAAGGUCUUCGGAUCGAAAAACUCUGUUAUUAGGGAAGAACAUAUGUGUAAGUAACUGUGCACAUCUUGACGGUACCUAAUCAGAAAGCCACGGCUAACUACGUGCCAGCAGCCGCGGUAAUACGUAGGUGGCAAGCGUUAUCCGGAAUUAUUGGGCGUAAAGCGCGCGUAGGCGGUUUUUUAAGUCUGAUGUGAAAGCCCACGGCUCAACCGUGGAGGGUCAUUGGAAACUGGAAAACUUGAGUGCAGAAGAGGAAAGUGGAAUUCCAUGUGUAGCGGUGAAAUACGCAGAGAUAUGGAGGAACACCAGUGGCGAAGGCGACUUUCUGGUCUGUAACUGACGCUGAUGUGCGAAAGCGUGGGGAUCAAACAGGAUUAGAUACCCUGGUAGUCCACGCCGUAAACGAUGAGUGCUAAGUGUUAGGGGGUUUCCGCCCCUUAGUGCUGCAGCUAACGCAUUAAGCACUCCGCCUGGGGAGUACGACCGCAAGGUUGAAACUCAAAGGAAUUGACGGGGACCCGCACAAGCGGUGGAGCAUGUGGUUUAAUUCGAAGCAACGCGAAGAACCUUACCAAAUCUUGACAUCCUUUGACAACUCUAGAGAUAGAGCCUUCCCCUUCGGGGGACAAAGUGACAGGUGGUGCAUGGUUGUCGUCAGCUCGUGUCGUGAGAUGUUGGGUUAAGUCCCGCAACGAGCGCAACCCUUAAGCUUAGUUGCCAUCAUUAAGUUGGGCACUCUAAGUUGACUGCCGGUGACAAACCGGAGGAAGGUGGGGAUGACGUCAAAUCAUCAUGCCCCUUAUGAUUUGGGCUACACACGUGCUACAAUGGACAAUACAAAGGGCAGCGAAACCGCGAGGUCAAGCAAAUCCCAUAAAGUUGUUCUCAGUUCGGAUUGUAGUCUGCAACUCGACUACAUGAAGCUGGAAUCGCUAGUAAUCGUAGAUCAGCAUGCUACGGUGAAUACGUUCCCGGGUCU
Molecule: ribosomal RNA, 1372 nt
Filed under: uncultured bacterium
Lineage: Bacteria
Description: bacterial SSU rRNA
Rfam family: Bacterial small subunit ribosomal RNA
Source: RNAcentral